Molecule: long non-coding RNA, 2168 nt
Organism: Populus trichocarpa (black cottonwood)
Lineage: Eukaryota; Viridiplantae; Streptophyta; Magnoliopsida; Malpighiales; Salicaceae
Exons: 5
Source: RefSeq, a predicted model, not a curated record
AUACAUGGUCACGGUUAUCCUGGACUGUGUUCCGGGAUAAAAGUGGCCUCCUUGAAAGAAAGGGCGGGCACUCUCGUGUUUCAACUCCACCAUACUAUUAAUAGUUGUGGUGUGUACUUACAGCCUCUACUAUAAGCAAGUGAAUGGGGCCGGUGCGUGGCGAACGGAACAGUUCAUCAAGCCAUUUCUCGCCGUGACCCCCAAAAUAGGAAGAGAGGUACUUUACAAAUAGGGGCUAAUUGCUUCGCACCUGACUGCCCUCUCGAUACCUUCUCAGAGCUUUGUAACUAGUGGCCGGGUCGCUGUUUUCCCAGUGCGCGGAGCCCCAGGUGUUAGUGGUUUCUCAUUGGGUCAAUAAUACUAAUCCCUCUUUUUUGUGCUCCUAGGGCGGGAAGAAGAAAAGAAAACGCGAAGCGUUCUCUUGCUUUCCCAACCUCUGGCUUCUAAAGGCUGCCCUCUCUUAGCUGGAGCUUAAAAUCGACAUCCCUUUCUUUGUUUUUUUGGCAAAGAAAGAAAGAGAGAGGGAUGGUGAAGGAUAUGGCGAGGAUGGUGAAGGAUAUGGAGAGAGAUGGUUGGGAAUCCUGUAAACACAAAAAGGGAUCAGUGGGGAAAAAAAGGGAUGGAUCAAUGAUUUUUCAGUCCCUUUUGCAAUUAUAGAAGCAAGGAACAGGUUGAGAGGAGAAAAAAAAGGCGGAGAGGAGAUCUUUGAGAGAGACGUUAGGAGCCCUGUGAAAGGGUCUCUUUUGCAGCACUGAAAGCAACAAACAGAGGGAGAGGAGCAGCAAACAACCUGAAUUAGGCUAACCUGGUCUCCUCCAACUUGGGUCAAGUUCCUCCAAGAGGAAGAGAAGGACAUGAUGUAUAUGAUGUUCGUGCUACUCUAAAAGAACUGAAGCUAUUUACAGACUCUGCUGAGAGGGUUGAUAUCCAGGCCAAAUUUGAAGGAGAAGGAGAAUGUGGGAAGGCUUGUCGAAAUGUUUCUCAAUAUCUCUUAGUUCUGCUCAAGUUCUGUUGAUGGCUCUGUUCUAAUUCUGUUAGCAUACAACCAAGUAAGUACAUUUAUGUUGUUUUCUUUCCGUUUCUUAAAUUUCAGUUUCAUUUGCGAUCAUAACCUCUUGGCAGUUCAUGUCUUUUCAACUAUUGUUUGCUUGCCACGUUUCAUUUACAUUCAUUUUCCAACUGGGCGUCAUGAUUUGUUUUCUUGGGACUGUAUCUUCAGACAAAUAAUUUUUCCUUCCCUUCCUCUUUCAUUGCAAAAAAAAAACAGAGCAUGUUAGGAACUAGGAAGCAAUGAAAAUAAAAAAUACUCUCUCUUUCAGAUUUCAAUCUCUUUGUUUCUUCUCUUUGAAAAAUGACUUAAGUUUUUAUGGGAAGGAAUUCGUUGAUCAUAUUAUUUUUGAAGUUUGAUUCUUCAUGUAAUCUAGUGGAUUUCAAAUUAUCUUUUACUUUCUCUGUGAUUACCCAUCUUCCCCGUCUCUCUAAAUAUAUAAUGGGUUUUUGAUUUGUAGAUUUCACAAAAAUCUUGCAUAGCUUAACUAAAAAAAUCCAUAUAGCCUCACAAUAUUCAAACUUUCCAAAUUCACAAGCCCGAUUCAAGGAAGGAGAUCCACGGGGAAGAGUUGUAGCUGCUACCUAGGUCGCGAACACACAAAUCCACAACUAGACAGGCAAGACAAAUGAAUAAAGUGUUCCUGAUGGUGGAGAUGGUGGCGUCAAUUCUGUCGUAAAGACUGCAACAACCCGCCAUCUAUUGGCCAGGCCUAUUAGACCGACCAGCGUCCUAUGGUUUUGGCAGGGAGGCAUUCGAGUCUGGUGAUUGUUCAUUGGAUAUUUAGCUAAGUUGGAUAUGGCAUGGAUAUGGCAUGGAUAUGGCAUGGAUAUGAUCUACCAAAAUGACUUGACUAGUAGCUAUAAGAGGUUUUAUUUUUUUAUGGAGGUAAGGAUUUUUUGAUACUUAAAUAAAUAUUUUUUUUUUAAAAAAAAAUAUUUUAGAAAGAGAUGCUAUGAAAAUAUUACAUGUAGUAGGGAAUGAAGAUUGUGAAUCUUUGUUUUGAAGGUCUUAUAGUGUAUUUAUAGCCUAUGAAUCUUGUUUUUCUAUAAAGAAAAAAGUCUGAAGUGUAAUUUUAUCCUUAUAGCAUUUAAUGAGUAAUAAAUAUCUCUUAAAUUUG